Molecule: unclassified non-coding RNA, 82 nt
Filed under: Pseudomonas migulae
Lineage: Bacteria; Pseudomonadati; Pseudomonadota; Gammaproteobacteria; Pseudomonadales; Pseudomonadaceae
Source: RNAcentral
UGUAGGAGCCGGCUUGCUGGCGAUCGGUCUUAAGUUCUGCGAUGUUUUUGAAGACGCCAUCGCCAGCAAGCCGGCUCCUACA